GUUUGAUCCUGGCUCAGAAUGAACGCUGGCGGCGUGCUUAACACAUGCAAGUCGGAUGUGCCGCAAGGUGCAUGGCAGACGGGUGAGUAACGCGUGGGGAACCUACCUUUUUGUGGGGAAUAACGUUCCGAAAGGAACGGUAAUACCGCAUGUGACCAUGUUCUGGAAUGUGCAUGGUGAAAGCUGGGGAUCGUAAGACCCAGCGCAAGGAGAGGGUCCUGCGUCUGAUUAGCUAGUUGGUGGGGUAAUGGCCUACCAAGGCUUCGAUCAGUAGCCGGCCUGAGAGGGUGAUCGGCCACACUGGAACUGAGACACGGUCCAGACUCCUACGGGAGGCAGCAGUGGGGAAUUUUGCGCAAUGGACGAAAGUCUGACGCAGCAACGCCGCGUGGGUGAUGAAGGUCUUCGGAUUGUAAAACCCUGUCGUCAGGGACGAAGGGUUGCGACCUAAUACGUCGUGGCCUUGACGGUACCUGGAGAGGAAGCCCCGGCUAACUCUGUGCCAGCAGCCGCGGUAAUACAGAGGGGGCAAGCGUUAUUCGGAAUUAUUGGGCGUAAAGGGCGCGUAGGCGGCGUCGUAAGUAGGAUGUGUAAUCCCCGAGCUUAACUUGGGAACUGCAUCCUAGACUGCGAUGCUAGAGUGCUGGAGAGGGUGGUAGAAUUCCACGUGUAGCGGUGAAAUGCGUAGAGAUGUGGAGGAAUACCAGUGGCGAAGGCGGCCACCUGGACAGUAACUGACGCUGAGGCGCGAAAGUGUGGGUAGCAAACAGGAUUAGAUACCCUGGUAGUCCACACUGUAAACGAUGAACACUUGGUGUGGCGAGAGUUGACCCUCGCCGUGCCGGAGCUAACGCGUUAAGUGUUCCGCCUGGGGAGUACGGUCGCAAGGCUGAAACUCAAAGGAAUUGACGGGGGCCCGCACAAGCGGUGGAGCAUGUGGUUUAAUUCGACGCAACGCGAAGAACCUUACCUGGGCUUGAACUGCUAUUGACAGUGGCAGAGAUGUCAUUUUCCGCAAGGACAGUAGCAGAGGUGCUGCAUGGCUGUCGUCAGCUCGUGUCGUGAGAUGUUGGGUUAAGUCCCGCAACGAGCGCAACCCUUACCUCUAGUUGCCAGCACGUCAUGGUGGGAACUCUAGAGGGACUGCCCGGGUUAACCGGGAGGAAGGUGGGGAUGAUGUCAAGUCCUCAUGGCCCUUAUGUCCAGGGCUACACACGUGCUACAAUGGGUGGUACAAACCGUUGCAAUGCCGCGAGGCGGAGCUAAUCGGAGAAAGCCAUCCUCAGUUCGGAUUGCAGUCUGCAACUCGACUGCAUGAAGUUGGAAUCGCUAGUAAUCGUGUAUCAGAAUGAUACGGUGAAUGCGUUCCCGGGCCUUGUACACACCGCCCGUCACAUCACGAGAGCCGGGAGCACUUGAAGAGGGUGAGGUAACCGUAAGGAGCCAGCUCUCAAUGGUGAACUUGGUGAUUGGGGUGAAGUCGUAACAAGGUA
Molecule: ribosomal RNA, 1493 nt
Filed under: metagenome
Description: bacterial SSU rRNA
Rfam family: Bacterial small subunit ribosomal RNA
Source: RNAcentral